CUAGGCAGUGCUUUCUUUCUAAAAUAUGUUUAGGGAUAUUCUCAUUUGGACUCAAGAAAAUCACCAUAUCAUUCAAAUUGGGGAAAACAAAUACAGUAAAUGGACCAAAGUACAAAGAUUCACAAAAUGUUUAGGGGUAUGCAUCCCCCUGUGACCCCUCAGAAAAAAAGCACUGGGGCUAGGUUAAUGUUCCAUUCCAUAUAUUUCUUACAUUCACAUAUAUAUCAUGUGUGUGUGUGUGUGUGUGUGUGAUGCACCCCAUGCACUGUUACAGCUCUAUUUCUUGUAUUUAACAUUAAAACAUUGCUUACAAAAUGGGGUGCUACUUUAUUUGAAUGUUACGUUAAAGCACAAACUGUGCCCAUUUUAGUAUAGUUUUUUUUUUAAAAAAAAAAACCAUUGCAGCAAAACAACUGCAAAUUAACAGAUGAAGCAACAGCAGUUGUAGAUCUAGCGAUCAGCGCUUCUGCUAAAGCUUUGACCGGCGUGAUGGUGCCCUGGAAGCUUCAAUCGUAGUUCUGAGCUCCGGCUGGAAGAGGUUUAAAAGUAAGAUCCAUCUCCUGACCUUCUAUCCAUCUCGCUUAGGAGAAAGGAGGAGAAAAGGCUGCUUCACUCCCCUCCAGCCAGAUGGUGCAUCUUUCCUGGGUAAAUAAAUUUUAAGGAAACGAUCAAAGGGAUGGUUAAAUAUUAAAUAACUGCCUCCGCUGCCUCAAGGACGAGGCCCAGGAAUGCUGCUGCCAAUCCGCAGGGGUGGGUUUUGCUACUUGUGGUUCUUGUGUUUAUCAGUUGCCAUUCAGUCAGAUACCUGUACUAUUCUGUGAAAUAGCAAAUCUUAGAUGCGAAGCGCUCGGCUGAAAUGAAUGCAAAGAUGACAUCACAGAAUAACUUUCCUUUUUUCCCUACACAGAGGGAAAUGAAAAAAGGCUGCAACAAGGCUCGCUAAUGGAAGUAAGCGAAGGGACCAGAUUAACAGUUGCAGAAAUCAGGCGCAGGUGGGAUGUUAUGAUAAGUUCCCUGAUUCAUCGCCGCUAAUAAGAGAAAUCAGAAUAAUAACGGAAAAGGAAGAAAGGAUUGUAGGAUCGGUGCAAAUAUUUAUCUGCUCGCAAAGUGACCUUGUGAUCCAUCCCCGUCAUUAAUCUGAUAGCAAAGAACAUGAUUGCCACCGUGUGGUUGCUACCAGAAAUUAUAGUUUAACGCAAAUCAUUUUUCAUAAUUAAAAUGUAAUUAGCUGGCUCCCCUGUUGUCUACGCAGAUCUUUUGGUGAGUGCCUGUUCUGCUGCUUAGAGGAAUCGCUGCCUCUUCCAAAAACAAAAAAACAAAACCCCACAAAAGUUAGGCAAGGGGGGAAAAGCUAGAAUCAGAGACUCCUUGGGGUGUGUGGCUUUGACAGCAAGCAAGAUGGUGGCGUGGCUUGACAGCAGUUUCACGAGUGAAUAAUUUGGCUUGGGUUAAUACUUCGGCAAGGUAAUGCUGCGCAGACAAUAUAAGUGAAGCCCGAAACUUUUAGAAUUAAUGCCGUUGGCGGCUAAUCAGCUUGACAGCUCAGAAUUCUUGAGGGAGGCUAAGGACGCCGAGAUGGUGAAGGGCAGUUCAACAGCUUGAAAGGCGCAACUUUAAAAGUGGGUUGUCAGUGGUAGAAGAUCUAGCCGACUUUAGCCAGCAACGGGAGGAGAACUUAGCAAAUAUCUGUGCUGUGGCUUUGAAAGUGGCCCCGUUGACUCUAAAGAAGGUGCAAGGGAACUUUGGCCCUCUAGAAGUUGCUCCCAUCAGCCUAGUGGCCAGGAAUUAUGGGAGGAUAAGGAGGACCAUAAGAAGAUCAAACCUCUCAAUUCUUAAGGAAAUCAGCCCUGAGUGCUCACUGGAAGGACAGAUCCCAAAGCUGAGGCUCCAAUACUUUGGCCACCUCAUGAGAAGAGAAGACUCCCUGAAAAAGACCCUGAUGUUAGGAAAGAUGGAGGGCACAAGGAGAAGGGGACGACAGAGGACAAGAUGGUUGGACAGUGUUCUCAAAGCUACCAGCAUGAGUCUGACCAAACUGCGGGAGGCAGUGGAAGACAGGAGUGCCUGGCAUGCUCUGGUCCAUGAGGUCACGAAGAGUCGGACACGAUUAAACGACUAAACAACAACAACACAAGGAGGGCCAUGCUCAUAAUUAUAAUUUUCUGCUUAGAGGAAUACUAGAGUUGGAUGAUGGCAUGGUGGUAGUGUUGAUGGCAUGGUUCUUGAAAUUUCAUUGGACAUUCUUGACAUCACUGUAAGGAGAAAGAGUGGACUUUCGUUGCUGUUUUACUUCAGCCACUGUUGCGUGACAGAGAAAUGGAAGCAGAAGGCUGAACUCAUAUCCUGCCAGGUUCUCAAAACACCCUUUUCUGUCCUUCUAAGGAUGUGGAUGGAGGAUAUGGAAGAGAAGAGCUCAAUACCAAACAUGCAAGCUCCCUCCAAAAAUCACUGAUUAUCUACCACCUAGAAAGACAAAGGUCACAGACUUUUAAUGGGAAUGAUUGAGGACUGAGCCCACCUACAUGACCAUUAGGAGAACACAGUGGUGUCUAGUGGUCAAAUGCUGGAUCAAGGGAGAUCCAGGCUCAAAUCUCUACUCUGCCAAGAACGUUUGUAGGUGACUUCAAGCCACUUGCAGUCAAAUGAGUCUUCCCACCUGCAAUCUGAAGGGAUACAGUCCAGAUUUGAGUUUACAACCAUGGUGAAAAUGACCUGGUUCAACCCAUUAUAUAUUACUAGGGAAACUCAUUUUGACAAACUCUGAGAAAGGCAUUUUUCUUGAAUGAACUGUUCUGGCUUCUUAUACUAUGCCUGGGGGCAGGGGGAGGGUAGGCAGGGCAGUGCCCAACACCCAUGGGAAACCAGUUGAAAUAAUUUCUUUUUAAAACAAAAGCAAAACCCCUGUAAUUUAAAAUGAAUCUGAACUCUGGUUUUCUGAGUCAAAAGUAAUGAAUUUAACACUUAACCUGCGCCUCACGGAAACAACUUUGGGCUGCCACAACUUUCCUCUAACCUAACAUUUUCCUGUACCUUCAUGAGUUUUUCCAUCACGCUGUGAGAUUCUGCAAAGGACAAGAAUAAAUAUAACCAGUCACCUCAGAAUCAAGAUUUGAAGGAAAGACAUAUAACUGCCGCAUGGUGUUGCCAUGGCAACAAAGGCUCCAACACGAUCCUAAUCUGCUUAUGAAUUCCAUCUCUGAGAUGAACAAAAUCAACACAAGAGAAGGAAAGAAAAUCUGCUAAGUUGAAGGAAGGUGAUGAGGAUAUUUCAGGUGGGCCAUUAAUUCCGUGCCCCAGAUUUGCGGCAUCAACAACCCCUUUCACCUCGGAGCAGCUCUGGACAUUACCG
Molecule: long non-coding RNA, 3349 nt
Filed under: Podarcis lilfordi (Lilford's wall lizard)
Lineage: Eukaryota; Metazoa; Chordata; Lepidosauria; Squamata; Lacertidae
Source: RNAcentral